Mus musculus (house mouse) is the source of this 505-nucleotide long non-coding RNA. RefSeq annotates it as predicted gene, 36528. Lineage: Eukaryota; Metazoa; Chordata; Mammalia; Rodentia; Muridae. The transcript has 3 exons. The record is from RefSeq and is a predicted model, not a curated record.
AUGGCAUGGGAAUAGGAUCUCCAAUCUGAACAGACUACCUUCUUCAAGCAGUGUCCCCAGGCCUCUGCUUUCAUAGACUGAGAUUUCUCCUACUUAGCAGCAGCAGAGGACAUGACUACACAGCCAGACUCCAGAAAGAGAGGAAACCACCUCUUGCUGCACUCUUGAGCCCUAUAUUUCCCAUAGGACUCAACUUGAGAAGGGUGGCAUUUCAGUGGCAGCAACAACUUGUCCUCCACGUCUGGGGACAGAGGUAAAACAAAGAAAGCAGCCUGUUUAGCGUGGCAUUUCUCUAUUUCAACUGAGGAUGCAGGAAGUUCACAAGACAACGUUCCAGCUGCGAUUUGGAAUGUUGACUCUGUUCCGCGUGAACCCUGACGUCCAAAUGCAUUCAUGAGGUGCCAUUUUCAACUCUCCUGCCAGUCUCCAUCCUCAUCUGUAUCAGAAUCUUAAUGCCUGCUUCCCUGUUUGAGUUAUGGAAAUUUAUUGAAAUGGUGUAUUCUGA